This 1147-nucleotide unclassified non-coding RNA is filed under the name Hevea brasiliensis (rubber tree). The record is from RNAcentral. Lineage: Eukaryota; Viridiplantae; Streptophyta; Magnoliopsida; Malpighiales; Euphorbiaceae.
GGAAUGUUUAGGUAGCUUUUAUCUCAUUGCAAUUGGUGGUUUUCUUUCAUGUGACUUCAAGAUUUUAGCAAAAAACUAGAAAUUAUGUUUUGGGCCGAGCUUGUUCUGAAAGAUGGAUACUUUUCAGCGAAUGGGAUGUGCUUGAAUUGAGCUUAGUAUGUAAAACUUGGUCUUGGAUGAUGUAUAGUACUUUCUGGACCAUCUUUUCUACAGUGGUUUAUUGCUUUUUGUAUUACUUGUAAUCUUAGAUGUUAUAUAUUGUUCAUGCUUUUGAGCCAGGACUGCUAACUUCUCACAAAAGUAUUUGCACGUUUACUUGUUUAUUGAGAACUUUUUGAUGUGGCUCGAUAUUUUUUUGGUUUUUCUUUCCUUCUUUCUUUCUCUUUGUUUGCUUUUAUCACAUUUGAAGUUCUGAUACCGACUCUUCAUCUGAUUGCUUGGUAUAUGAUAACUUGACAAGUUUUGACCUUAAAUUUUGAAAUUUUCAGGAUUUUGAUCUGAAAUCUUGAUAAGGCCUAACUUCUUAAACUUGAAAUAAAACCUGUAGUUCAUUUUUGCCAUCUUCAUUUUGUGUCCCCAUUUUCUUGUCAUAUUUGUUUUCCAUCUGUUUAUAAUGUGCCUUAAAAUAGAAAGGUUGUUAGGAUGCUAGUGGCUUUAUUAAACUAUAGUAUACCUGCAUGGCUGAAUAUCUGCUAACAGUAUGCUUCAUCCCACAUAUUGUUAAUUUGUGAUCAUAAAAUACAUUAUAUGUUAAACUAAGCCAUGUUGAGGAUGGAUUUGGAAAUUAUCACCUUAUUAGAAAUGGAAAUUGGUAUGUAGCAGAGCAAAGAUAAAAUUCAAUAGUUUGCCAGACCAGGGAAAAAUUAAUUGCUGACUAGAGCUGCAAGAAAAAUUAGUAGACACAAAUGCUUUGUGGAAUCUGAAAUAGUAAUGGGAAUUAUUGAAUGCUUGUCAUUGGAAUUUGGAGAAUAUUGAAUGAUAUUAAAUAGUUUUAGAGUUGUUUAUCAGUUUGGUUCUCUAAAAAGCUUCUCAGAUUAUAGAUCAGGGCAAUUUUAUGUCUAGUUAAAUUACUGGUGUCUUCUUUCUGUAAACUUCUGCGUUGAGUAUUUAGAAUUUCUAUAUUCUAAUUUUGAGUGAGAGAGAGAGA